AACGAACGCUGGCGGCAUGCCUAACACAUGCAAGUCGAACGAGACCUUCGGGGCGAGUGUCGCACGGGGGUGUAACGCGUGGGGAUAUGCCCUUGUGUGCGGAAUAACUCGCCGAAAGGCGUGCUAUAACCGGAUGAUAACGUAAGUCCAAAGAUUUAUCGCCCAAGGAGGAGCCCGCGUUGGAUUAGCUAGUUGGUGAGGUAAAGGCUCACCAAGGCGACGAUCCAUAGCUGGUCUGAGAGGAUGAUCAGCCACACUGGGACUGAGACACGGCCCAGACUCCUACGGGAGGCAGCAGUGGGGAAUAUUGGACAAUGGGCGAAAGCCUGAUCCAGCAAUGCCGCGUGAGUGAUGAAGGCCUUAGGGUUGUAAAGCUCUUUUACCCGGGAUGAUAAUGACGGUACCGGGAGAAUAAGCCCCGGCUAACUCCGUG
RNAcentral lists this ribosomal RNA (433 nucleotides) under uncultured bacterium. RNAcentral's name for it is "partial 16S ribosomal RNA". It matches the Rfam family "Bacterial small subunit ribosomal RNA", at positions 29 to 507 of the family's 1533-position model. The record is from RNAcentral.